This 256-nucleotide ribosomal RNA is filed under the name uncultured bacterium. RNAcentral's name for it is "partial small subunit ribosomal RNA". It matches the Rfam family "Bacterial small subunit ribosomal RNA", at positions 26 to 285 of the family's 1533-position model. The record is from RNAcentral.
AGGACGAACGCUGGCGGCGUGCUUAACACAUGCAAGUCGAGCGGAAAGGCCCUUCGGGGUACUCGAGCGGCGAACGGGUGAGUAACACGUGAGCAACCUGCCCUUAGCUCUGGGAUAGCUCCGGGAAACCGGAAUUAAUACCGGAUAUUACACCGGCUGGCAUCGGCUGGUGUGGAAAGAUUUAUCGGCUAAGGAUGGACUCGCGGCCUAUCAGCUUGUUGGUGGGGUAGAAGCCUACCAAAGGCGACGACGGGGU